CGGGGCGUAGCGCAGCUGGCUAGCGCGCUUGGUUCGGGACCAAGAGGUCGUGGGUUCAAAUCCCGCCGCCCCGACCA
RNAcentral lists this transfer RNA (77 nucleotides) under bacterium. Its description in RNAcentral is "tRNA-Pro". It matches the Rfam family "tRNA". From Rfam's summary of the family: Transfer RNA (tRNA) molecules are approximately 80 nucleotides in length. Their secondary structure includes four short double-helical elements and three loops (D, anti-codon, and T loops). RNAcentral also lists the same sequence under 1 other name. The record is from RNAcentral.